This 265-nucleotide unclassified non-coding RNA is filed under the name Gongylonema pulchrum. RNAcentral describes it as "ITS2". Lineage: Eukaryota; Metazoa; Nematoda; Chromadorea; Rhabditida; Gongylonematidae. The record is from RNAcentral.
CAAACAAAAAGAAUCUAUCUCAGAUUGAAUAUGAAAAACCAUCGUCAGGUAAUGUGAUGGUUGUAUUGCUGCUGCUGCUGCUGCUGCUGCUGCUGCUGCUGCUGCUGCUGCUGCUGCUAUAUUUCCCUGAUCAGUUUUUGCUAUUAUAAUGUUGUACGGGGCAACAACAAUUCAAAUAGCAACUAUUAAUUUCUACUACUACAACAAAGAAAGAAAAUUUACAUGUAUGUAGUAGAGAAAAGAAUGUGGUGCGCAUUAUUAAUUU